This 72-nucleotide transfer RNA is filed under the name Epipogium aphyllum. Its description in RNAcentral is "tRNA-Cys". It matches the Rfam family "tRNA". Rfam says of the family: Transfer RNA (tRNA) molecules are approximately 80 nucleotides in length. Their secondary structure includes four short double-helical elements and three loops (D, anti-codon, and T loops). Further hydrogen bonds mediate the characteristic L-shaped molecular structure. tRNAs have two regions of fundamental functional importance: the anti-codon, which is responsible for specific mRNA codon recognition, and the 3' end, to which the tRNAs corresponding amino acid is attached (by aminoacyl-tRNA synthetases). tRNAs cope with the degeneracy of the genetic code in two manners: having more than one tRNA (with a specific anti-codon) for a particular amino acid; and 'wobble' base-pairing, i.e. permitting non-standard base-pairing at the 3rd anti-codon position. The record is from RNAcentral. Lineage: Eukaryota; Viridiplantae; Streptophyta; Magnoliopsida; Asparagales; Orchidaceae.
GGUAACAUGGCUGAGUGGUAAAGCAUAGUAUUGCAAAUUCUAUAUACUCUGGUUCAAAUCCAGAUGUUACUU